CUCGGCGGAUCAGCCCGUUCCUCACGGAACGGCCCGCCGCAGGACCCCUAAACUCUGUUUUUAGUGGAACUUCUGAGUAAAAAAACAAAUAAAUCAAAACUUUCAACAACGGAUCUCUUGGUUCUGGCAUCGAUGAAGAACGCAGCAAAAUGCGAUAAGUAAUGUGAAUUGCAGAAUUCAGUGAAUCAUCGAAUCUUUGAACGCACAUUGCGCCCGCCAGUAUUCUGGCGGGCAUGCCUGUUCGAGCGUCAUUUCAACCCUCAAGCCCAGCUUGGUGUUGGGAGCUGUUUUAGUUAACACUCCCCAAAUUGAUUGGCGGUCACGUCGAGCU
RNAcentral lists this ribosomal RNA (331 nucleotides) under Fusarium culmorum. RNAcentral describes it as "partial 18S ribosomal RNA". The stretch from base 98 to 251 matches the Rfam family "5.8S ribosomal RNA". Lineage: Eukaryota; Fungi; Ascomycota; Sordariomycetes; Hypocreales; Nectriaceae. The record is from RNAcentral.